UACGGGGGGGGCAAGCGUUGUUCGGAAUUACUGGGCGUAAAGGGCGUGUAGGUGGCCAACUAAGUCCGACGUGAAAUCCCCAGGCUUAACCUGGGAACUGCGUCGGAUACUGGAUGGCUUGAAUUCGGGAGAGGGAUGCAGAAUUCCAGGUGUAGCGGUGAAAUGCGUAGAUAUCUGGAGGAAUACCGGUGGCGAAGGCGGCAUCCUGGACCGAGAUUGACACUAAAAGCGCGAAAGCCAGGGGAGCAAACGGG
This 254-nucleotide ribosomal RNA is filed under the name uncultured bacterium. RNAcentral's name for it is "partial 16S ribosomal RNA". It matches the Rfam family "Bacterial small subunit ribosomal RNA", at positions 524 to 776 of the family's 1533-position model. The record is from RNAcentral.